Molecule: long non-coding RNA, 947 nt
Filed under: Homo sapiens (human)
Lineage: Eukaryota; Metazoa; Chordata; Mammalia; Primates; Hominidae
Description: HSALNT0393006
Source: RNAcentral
GCCUAGGCAUCUUGGGCAGGUGACUGAACACUGGAGCCAGUGUCCCUGGGAGAUAGGGAAGUCCCUCCCCAUGAAGGGACCUAGGUUCUUUGUAUCCUCUCCUGUAGUCCUGGGCCAAUAACUGACUGCUUUAUGGAAAACACACACACACAAAACAAACAAACAAACAAAGAAACCACCUUGCAUUCAUGCCCCAAGACUGAGCAGACCCUGUGGUACAGUUUAUUCCCCAGAGGCCCCAUGGGAUCAAGCUGAAGCCCAGCUGCAUCGGAGACCACAUCCUUUUUCAUUUUUCUUUCCUCCCUUCCCAAUAUGGCUCCCACCGACCCCUACAUGUUUCUUGUGAGUGCACUCCAUUGAUAAAUGUCUUGCACAAACAUCCCCUUCUCAGGUUCUGCUCCAGGGAACUGUACCCAAGACACUACCAGCAUCUGUCCCUCAAUGCCACACACCUGUCAUCCCACACAUCAAAAGGAAUCCCACGUAAUAGGAUACAAGCACAACUGCAAACACACUCACUGCCCCCGCCCCCUCCAACAAGGAGACAAAUGAAAAGUCCAUCACUCAUCCAGAGAAGACUUUUUAGAGCCACUGUUCUUGGAGCCUGUUACCUCUGGUCCAGCCUGGGUGACAAGUGAAACUCCAUCUCAGAAAAAAAAAAUUGAUAAAGGAGGAAGGCUGAACAAAUCACCAAGAUCAUGUCGCAGGAGAAACUGCAACUGUAGCAGCAUUCCUUCCCCCCAGGAAUGUGACAAAGAUGAGCACCAUUCCAACACCUGUUGCUGAGGCACUUUCCAGGGGUCUAGCUGUGGAGGCCCCUACUCUUCUCUAGAGCAGGCACUUCAAUCUUCAGGCCAAAACUAAAAUGUCUGCAUGACCACACUGCCAGGUUGCCCAAGAUUGGCUGACUUUGUAUGCAUCCUGAUUAAAAAUGGCAUCUUGCUCUC